AUGAUCACGACAUAAACCAUCGUGAGAAAGCGAUUGGAGGGCAAGUCUGGUGCCAGCAGCCGCGGUAAUUCCAGCUCCAAUAGUGUAUUGUAAAGUUGUUGUGAUUAAACGCUCGUAGUUGAAUGUAAACAAUCGAGUCAUGAUUUACGUUCUCUGAUUUGGGCUUGCUCGAGUCAGUUGAACCGCAAUCAGAAAAUGACUCACUAUAAGCGGGAGUUUGAUUCAGUUCCAAACUCUUUUACUUUGAUUAAAUCAGGUGCUUAAAGCAAAAUCUUCUGUUAAUGAAUGAUGAAGCAUGGUAUAAAAUGAAAAACAGAACAGAAUCAAUAUUGAAUUAUGGGGAGGUUCGCCAUUCGAAUAUUUCAGUUUUUUGUUUUGUUUCAAACAAGAUUAAGAGAAAUGAUUAGGGUGAUUUAGAUAGGAACGGGAGAGGUGGAAUUCCAUGAUCGUUUCGAGAUAAACGAGAGCGAAAGCAUUUCACUGAAUUCAUUUCAUUAAUCAAGAACGAA
RNAcentral lists this ribosomal RNA (509 nucleotides) under Entamoeba coli. Its description in RNAcentral is "bacterial SSU rRNA". It matches the Rfam family "Eukaryotic small subunit ribosomal RNA", at positions 514 to 987 of the family's 1831-position model. Lineage: Eukaryota; Evosea; Mastigamoebida; Endamoebidae. The record is from RNAcentral.